RNAcentral lists this long non-coding RNA (240 nucleotides) under Sorghum bicolor (sorghum). RNAcentral describes it as "long non-coding RNA (SBIC_LNC009155)". Lineage: Eukaryota; Viridiplantae; Streptophyta; Magnoliopsida; Poales; Poaceae. The record is from RNAcentral.
UGUGUUGACUUCUUUUGGUUUGAAUUUAGUUGUACUCGAAUUUCUAUUUGAAAAUGACUUUGAAAUAGAAAAAAAAGAAAGGAAAAGAAAGAAAAAAAAACAAAACAAUGCCUCACCCUCUCUCGGUUUCGGCCUGGCGACCCAGAGCCUGGCGCGGCCCAGCUCCCACUCCCUCCCGCACUCGGCCCACUCUCUCUCCCGGCCCAACCGCGCGCGCGCCUCCCCUUCUCAGUCGCUGGC